AAAUCACAUAGAUCGACAUUCAAUUGAACAAGGUACCUUGAAUAACCAAAGAGAUGCAGCUUCAAAUCAAUUCCAUGUUGAUGUACAAGAUCCUAUCCCACAUGUUGAAAAUAAUUCUUUAGUUCCAGACCAAAAUGAUGAUAUGAACGAAAAAUCUAAUGAAGGAAAAGUAUGAUCUUCCUCCGGGGACAGAAAAUUGGA
Molecule: long non-coding RNA, 201 nt
Organism: Zingiber officinale
Lineage: Eukaryota; Viridiplantae; Streptophyta; Magnoliopsida; Zingiberales; Zingiberaceae
Exons: 3
Source: RefSeq, a predicted model, not a curated record